RNAcentral lists this ribosomal RNA (253 nucleotides) under uncultured bacterium. Its description in RNAcentral is "partial 16S ribosomal RNA". It matches the Rfam family "Bacterial small subunit ribosomal RNA", at positions 524 to 776 of the family's 1533-position model. The record is from RNAcentral.
UACGUAGGGUGCGAGCGUUGUCCGGAAUUAUUGGGCGUAAAGAGCGUGUAGGCGGUUCGGUAAGUCUGUCGUGGAAUCCUGAGGCUCAACCUUGGACGUGCGAUGGAUACUGCCGGGCUAGAGGAUGGUAGAGGCGAGUGGAAUUCCCGGUGUAGCGGUGAAAUGCGCAGAUAUCGGGAGGAACACCAGUAGCGAAGGCGGCUCGCUGGGCCAUUCCUGACGCUGAGACGCGAAAGCUAGGGGAGCGGACAGG